This is an RNA transcript of Phragmites australis (common reed), 1987 nucleotides long. It is a transcript of the gene named tubulin-folding cofactor E-like, with no coding region annotated. The transcript has 15 exons. Lineage: Eukaryota; Viridiplantae; Streptophyta; Magnoliopsida; Poales; Poaceae. The record is from RefSeq and is a predicted model, not a curated record.
GUCUUGCUCCUCCGGUUCCAGUGAGGCAGUGAUCCACUCAUGGCCGCCGCCAGCUUCCGUCUGGGCCAGCGCGUGCACGCCGCCGGCGACCCCCGCCGCGUCGGCACGGUGCUCUACCUGGGCCCACUCGAGGGUCACUCCGGCGAAUGGGUCGGCGUCGACUGGGACGAUGGCGCCGGCGGCCGCCACGACGGCUCGGUCGCCGGCCGCCGCUACUUCGUCGCUGCGGGCGAGUGCUCGGCCUCCUUCGCGCGCCCCACGGCGCUAAGCGAAGGGAUCACGCUCCCCGACGCGCUCCGCCUCCGCUACCGCGUGGACGACUUCACCAAGGAGGAAGAGGAUGAAAUGUAUGUCUUUUCAACUAGUCAGAAGCGUGUUCCGGUCGAAUUCGUUGGGAAGAACAAAGUUCAGGAGAAGCUCAAGAACUUCAACGAGUUGUCCAGUGCAUCAGUUUCCUACAUGGGAGUAAGCUCAAUCGGACCACCAGAUGAACUAAAAAAUUUGGUUCCAAAUCUCAGACUACUUGAUUUAACUGGAAAUCUGUUCUCACAAUGGCAAGAUAUAUCCUUUCGUUGUCAAGCUCUGGCAUCCCUGGAAGUUCUUAAUUUGACAAAUAAUACCAUGGAGAAUGAUGUUGUAGAAAGUCCAAUGCUUGAGAAUAUCUGUAUUUUGGUUCUCAACAACUGUGGUGUAACAUGGGAACUGGUUGAAAAGAUUAAACUCUCGUUUGCAUGUCUCAAUGAACUCCAUCUGAUGUCGAACAAGCUGAAGAUGAUCAUGACCCCAGAUGGAAAAUUUGUUCAAGGUUUCAAUACACUGUGGCUCUUAAAUUUAGAAGAUAAUCAAAUUGAUUCAUGGGAUGAAAUUGUGAAACUUUCUUAUUUAAGAAGUUUGGAACAGCUCCAUUUGAACAAAAACAGGCUAAAACAUAUAAAGUAUCCAUCUAAUCUUCCAUCACCUGGACCUCUUGGUGAUGCAGCUGCUGUGCCAUUUGAAAAUUUGCAGGUCCUUUUGUUAGGAUCUAAUGAAAUAGAUGACUUUCCUUCUGUGGAUUCACUUAACCUCUUCCCAAGUUUAAGGGACGUCAGGCUUUCUGAUAAUCCUAUAGCAGAUCCUACCAUGGGUGGUGCUCCUCGAUUUAUUCUUGUUGCUCGACUUGGAAAGGUGAAAGUACUAAAUGGCAGUGAGGUAAGCCCACGUGAACGGAGGGAAGCACAAAUACGAUAUGUUCGCCUUGUUACGGGAAAAACAGAAUCAAAUGACCCAGAAGAGAUCAAACGGCUGCACCCAAGAUUUGCUGAACUCAAGGCCUUUCAUGGUAUUGAAGAUAAGAAGCCAACUUCAAGUACAUCGGGCCCACAAAAGAUGGCUUCUGGUCUUCUAAGUAUCACCUUGAAAUGUGUGGGGCCGUCUAUGGGUGAAAAGCAACCAUUGACAAAGAAACUGCCUCCUACAACAACUGGUGCUGGGAAGUACAAGUUGUGGUGCCUAGUAAUUCAAGGAUCUUUACUUGUUUCUUCCGUGUAUCUCGAUGAAGUGGCAGUUUGUCCCGAUACCUUAAGUUUGUGUGUUGCAUACAGGUUGGGAAGUUGAAAUCUCUGUGUGAGAGCUUCUUUAAACUGAAGGACAUAAAAGUGAGACUGUUUGUCGAGGAAGAGGGAUGCCCUCUACCACAACUUGUGGUGGAGGACACGGCCUCUCUGAUGGAACUUGGGAUCGGUUCGGGAGCAAGCAUUGUUGUGGACGAAGAGAGCUAGCCGGUCUACUUCAGAGAACCCAACAGCCCUUAUCUGUCACGCAAUUAGAGUACACUUGCUGUUAAUGCUUUAAGAGAAGCAAGUAAAAAUUGCUCCUUCUCAAGUGUCCUGGCUAAGCGAAUGUAAUGUGCACUUGGUGAAUGUUCUUGUUUGUGUAUGGGCUACGAAAGGCAUCAGCAUUGUAUUGUAACAACAUUUGUGAAAAAAAAAAGACCAUGAUUUCGAUCUCA